GGAGGGUGCGAGCGUUAAUCGGAAUUACUGGGCGUAAAGCGCGCGUAGGCGGCUUGGUCAGUCGGAUGUGAAAGCCCCGGGCUUAACCUGGGAAUUGCAUUUGAUACUGCCAGACUAGAGUAUGGGAGAGGGAAGCGGAAUUUCCGGUGUAGCGGUGAAAUGCGUAGAUAUCGGAAGGAACACCAGUGGCGAAGGCGGCUUCCUGGCCCAAUACUGACGCUGAGGUGCGAAAGCGUGGGGAGCGAACAGGGAUUAGAUACCCUGGUAGUCCACGCCGUAAACGAUGAGAACUAGAUGUCGGGAGGAUUUGCCUCUCGGUGUCGCAGCUAACGCGUUAAGUUCUCCGCCUGGGGAGUACGCCGGCAACGGUA
Molecule: ribosomal RNA, 371 nt
Filed under: uncultured organism
Description: partial 16S ribosomal RNA
Rfam family: Bacterial small subunit ribosomal RNA
Source: RNAcentral